This 97-nucleotide transfer RNA is filed under the name Xanthomonas boreopolis. Its description in RNAcentral is "[Pseudomonas] boreopolis tRNA-Thr". The record is from RNAcentral. Lineage: Bacteria; Pseudomonadati; Pseudomonadota; Gammaproteobacteria; Lysobacterales; Lysobacteraceae.
GUGCGCGGCGGUGAAGGCGUACAUGUCGUACACCUCCUUGUUGGAGGUGAGCCGGCCGUGGAACUUGGCGCCGUAGUACGACGCCGUGCCGCGCUCG